This 676-nucleotide ribosomal RNA is filed under the name uncultured bacterium. RNAcentral's name for it is "bacterial SSU rRNA". It matches the Rfam family "Bacterial small subunit ribosomal RNA", at positions 73 to 743 of the family's 1533-position model. The record is from RNAcentral.
CGGGUGCUUGCACCUGGUGGCGAGUGGCGAACGGGUGAGUAAUACAUCGGAACAUGUCCUGUAGUGGGGGGUAGCCCGGCGAAAGCCGGAUUAAUACCGCAUACGAUCUACGGAUGAAAGCGGGGGACCUUCGGGCCUCGCGCUAUAGGGUUGGCCGAUGGCUGAUUAGCUAGUUGGUGGGGUAAAGGCCUACCAAGGCGACGAUCAGUAGCUGGUCUGAGAGGACGACCAGCCACACUGGGACUGAGACACGGCCCAGACUCCUACGGGAGGCAGCAGUGGGGAAUUUUGGACAAUGGGCGAAAGCCUGAUCCAGCAAUGCCGCGUGUGUGAAGAAGGCCUUCGGGUUGUAAAGCACUUUUGUCCGGAAAGAAAUCCUUGGCUCUAAUACAGUCGGGGGAUGACGGUACCGGAAGAAUAAGCACCGGCUAACUACGUGCCAGCAGCCCCGGUAAUACGUAGGGUGCGAGCGUUAAUCGGAAUUACUGGGCGUAAAGCGUACGCAGGCGGUUUGCUAAGACCGAUGUGAAAUCCCCGGGCUCAACCUGGGAACUGCAUUGGUGACUGGCAGGCUAGAGUAUGGCAGAGGGGGGUAGAAUUCCACCGUGUAGCAGUGAAAUGCGUAGAGAUGUGGAGGAAUACCGAUGGCGAAGGCAGCCCCCUGGGCCAAUACUAC